AGGACGAACGCUGGCGGCGUGCUUAACACAUGCAAGUCGAACGGUGAACCCCUUCGGGGGGGGUCAGUGGCGAACGGGUGAGUAACACGUGAGCAACCUGCCCCUGACUCUGGGAUAACCCCGGGAAACCGGAGCUAAUACCGGAUAUGACACCUUCGGGCAUCCGAUGGGUGUGGAAAGAUUUAUCGGUUGGGGAUGGGCUCGCGGCCUAUCAGCUUGUUGGUGGGGUAAUGGCCUACCAAGGCGACGACGGGUAG
Molecule: ribosomal RNA, 257 nt
Filed under: uncultured bacterium
Lineage: Bacteria
Description: partial small subunit ribosomal RNA
Rfam family: Bacterial small subunit ribosomal RNA
Source: RNAcentral